This is a non-coding RNA of Otolemur garnettii (small-eared galago), 74 nucleotides long. Lineage: Eukaryota; Metazoa; Chordata; Mammalia; Primates; Galagidae. The record is from Rfam.
GGGCCUGUAGCUCAGUGUCUAGGGUACCAGCCAUAUACACCGGAGCUGGCGGGUUCGAAUCCAGCCCAGGUCUG